This is a long non-coding RNA of Oncorhynchus tshawytscha (Chinook salmon), 490 nucleotides long. Lineage: Eukaryota; Metazoa; Chordata; Actinopteri; Salmoniformes; Salmonidae. The record is from Ensembl.
GAGGGGUUGUAGGUAGAGAGAGAGAGGAGAGGGGUUGUAGGUAGAGAGAGGAGGAGGAGAGGGGUUGUAGGUAAAGAGAGAGCAGGAGGAGAGGGGUUGUAGGUAAAGAGAGAGCAGGAGGAGAGGGGUUGUAGGUAGAGAGAGAGGAGGAGAGGGGUUGUAGGUAAAGAGAGAGGAGGAGGAGAGGGGUUGUAGGUAAAGAGAGAGCAGGAGGAGAGGGGUUGUAGGUAGAGAGAGAGGAGGAGAGGGGUUGUAGGUAGAGAGAGAGGAGGAGAGGGGUUGUAGGUAAAGAGAGAGGAGAGGGGUUGUAGGUAGAGAGAGAGGAGGAGAGGGGUUGUAGGUAGAGAGAGGAGGAGAGGGGUUGUAGGUAGAGAGAGGAGGAGGAGAGGGGUUGUAGGUAGAGAGAGAGGAGGAGGAGAGGGGUUGUAGGUAGAGAGAGAGGAGGAGGAGAGGGGUUGUAGGUAGAGAGAGAGGAGGAGAGGGGUUGUAG